GCGGUUAUGGGUUAAUUGGUUAAACUGGUCGAUUUCCAAUCGAUUUAUGUCAGUUCAAGUCUGACUAACCGUA
Fusarium sp. DS 682 is the source of this 73-nucleotide non-coding RNA. Lineage: Eukaryota; Fungi; Ascomycota; Sordariomycetes; Hypocreales; Nectriaceae. The record is from the annotation of a GenBank genome assembly.